RNAcentral lists this ribosomal RNA (492 nucleotides) under uncultured bacterium. Its description in RNAcentral is "partial 16S ribosomal RNA". It matches the Rfam family "Bacterial small subunit ribosomal RNA", at positions 29 to 507 of the family's 1533-position model. The record is from RNAcentral.
AGUGAACGCUGGCGGUAGGCCUAACACAUGCAAGUCGAACGGCAGCACAUUAAGAGCUUGCUCUUACGGGUGGCGAGUGGCGGACGGGUGAGGAAUACAUCGGAUUCUACUUUUUCGUGGGGGACAACGUAGGGCAACUUACGCUAAUACCUCAUACGACUUACGGGUGAAAGCAGGGGAUCUUCGGACCUUGCCCGCACGCAUGAGCCGACGUCCGAUUAGCCAGUUGGCGGGGUAAAGGCCCACCAAGGCGACGAUCCGUAGCUGGUCUGAGAGGAUGAUCAGCAACACUGGAACUGAGAAACGGUCCAGACUCCUACGGGGGGCAGCAGUGGGGAAUAUUGGACAAUGGGCGCAGUCCUGAUCCAGCCAGACCGCGUGGGUGAAGAAGGCCUUCGGGUGGUAAAGCCCUUUUGUUGGGAAAGAAAAGCGGCAGGUUAAUACCCCGAUGUUCUGACGGUACCCAAAGAGUAAGCAACGGCUAACUUCGUG